CGAGCUUAGCUCAGUUGGUUAGAGCGGAUGGUUGUGGUCCAUCAGGUCAAGGGUUCGAUCCCCUUAGCUCGCCCCA
RNAcentral lists this transfer RNA (76 nucleotides) under Candidatus Peribacteria bacterium RIFOXYA1_FULL_56_14. Its description in RNAcentral is "tRNA-His". It matches the Rfam family "tRNA". From Rfam's summary of the family: Transfer RNA (tRNA) molecules are approximately 80 nucleotides in length. Their secondary structure includes four short double-helical elements and three loops (D, anti-codon, and T loops). Lineage: Bacteria; Candidatus Peregrinibacteriota; Candidatus Peribacteria. The record is from RNAcentral.